This 253-nucleotide ribosomal RNA is filed under the name uncultured bacterium. Its description in RNAcentral is "partial 16S ribosomal RNA". It matches the Rfam family "Bacterial small subunit ribosomal RNA", at positions 524 to 776 of the family's 1533-position model. The record is from RNAcentral.
UACGGAGGGUGCAAGCGUUAUCCGGAUUCACUGGGUUUAAAGGGUGCGUAGGUGGGUCUGUAAGUCCGUGGUGAAAUCUCCGAGCUUAACUUGGAAACUGCCAUGGAUACUAUAGAUCUUGAAUACUGUGGAGGUUAGCGGAAUAUGUCAUGUAGCGGUGAAAUGCUUAGAUAUGACAUAGAACACCAAUUGCGAAGGCAGCUUGCUACACAGUUAUUGACGCUGAGGCACGAAAGCGUGGGGAUCAAACAGG